UUUUUUUAUUUGAUUCUGCGCACUUUUUUUUGCUGGCCAACUAAAUGUUGGUCACUUUCCGUGUGGUUUAUAUUCCAUCCAGUGUUUUAUUUUGAAACAACGAUGUUGAAAAACUUUGAACCAUCUGAAAUGGUAUUGGCUCAACAUAUGUUAUGGUCUUUGUUUAUCAUGUAUGAUAUCAUCAUUUUCAUGAUAUACAAGAAUAAAGUCACAUGACAUGAUUGGUAUAUAAAUAAAUGAUUCCGAUUAAAUGGUACGACGAUCGAUGAUCAAUUGUGUUGAGAUUGAAAUUUUUUUAGAUAUAAAAAAGAGUGAAAUCUAAAUCUAAACAAUGAUUAUCCAUGAUGGCUAAUAUUAUAAACAUUGAAAUUGUGAUUAUCUUGAUUUUUCAAUCGGUAUUUGGAAUGUCGAAUCGCGAUUUGGUUGCCAUAACUUGAAGCAAUCGUUGAACAUUUUUUUUGUUGCUCAAAAAAUAAAACAAAAUUAUGCAUUUAUAAAAAUGGAUUUAUUCAAAAAACCAUAAGAUCAGCCGAUAUUGAUUGUUCCAGAAAACUAUAGACGACAAUGUCCUUUUUUUUGAUAGAUUGACAAUGGAUUGGAAAUCAAUGGCGUUAUUGCUGCACCAAAUAACAUUUUAUCUGUUUAUGAAUUCAAAUUUUGUUUUUCAAUAAAUCAAACCAUUUAUCUUA
This is a non-coding RNA of Dermatophagoides farinae (American house dust mite), 689 nucleotides long. NCBI's taxonomy places the organism in Eukaryota, Metazoa, Arthropoda, Arachnida, Sarcoptiformes, Pyroglyphidae. The record is from RefSeq and is a predicted model, not a curated record.